GAUGAACGCUGGCGGCGUGCUUAACACAUGCAAGUCGAACGAGAAGUGGAGACGGACACCUUCGGGCGGAAGACUUUACUUCGAGUGGCGGACGGGUGAGUAACGCGUGGGUAACCUGCCUCAUACAGGGGGAUAACAGUUGGAAACGACUGUUAAUACCGCAUAAGACCACAGCACCGCAUGGUGCGGGGGUAAAAACUCCGGUGGUAUGAGAUGGACCCGCGUUCGAUUAGCCAGUUGGCGGGGUAACGGCCCACCAAAGCGACGAUCGAUAGCCGAUCUGAGAGGAUGACCGGACACAUUGGGACUGAGACACGGCCCAAACUCCUACGGGAGGCAGCAGUGGGGAAUAUUGCACAAUGGGGGAAACCCUGAUGCAGCGACGCCGCGUGAGUGAAGAAGUAUUUCGGUAUGUAAAGCUCUAUCAGCAGGGAAGAAAAUGACAGUACCUGAGUAAGAAGCCCCGGCUAACUACGUG
RNAcentral lists this ribosomal RNA (478 nucleotides) under uncultured bacterium. RNAcentral describes it as "partial 16S ribosomal RNA". It matches the Rfam family "Bacterial small subunit ribosomal RNA", at positions 28 to 507 of the family's 1533-position model. The record is from RNAcentral.